GAGGCAGGCUGGGUCCGCCUGGCAGCCUACGGGAGGAGGCGGGAGCCGGGAAGGAGGGGAGCCUAGGCCCGGCGUGGGGAGGCCGGCAGGAAGGGCCUCGAGCCCAGUGCGGACCUUUCUUCAGCCUCUGUGCGACCGAGCCGCGCGCCAGGCUCCUGUGCGAGGAGGACGCGCUGACUCCCUCCGACCUGGGCUCCGAUGGAGCAGAAAUAGCGGGACCUGGACUUGUGGCGCGCCUGGUGCCACAUCUCGGGCUCUGCGAGCGUCCUGGCGCGGGAUCCUGCCUGUUCCCUUCUUUUCGCCAGGUUUGCAUCCAAGAGAGGGGAGGACAGGGGCAAAAGGAUGCAGGGAGGCUGCUGAUUUCCACUGAAGAGCUAAUUUCCUGUGAGACAUUAACAGUGAUUUAAGAAAAAGAUUCCUGUAACUGAGACAAUUAGGAAAAAAGUAAACAAACGGAGCAGGAUUUGGGCAUAACAGCAUGCUCCUCCCAUCCCCCAAAUCCCAGGAGUGUCACUGAGUAAUGUCUUACAAUAACAGAAUGCAGGAGAGCACAUAUCAAUGAAGAAAAGACAAAAUGUACUUAUCCAUGAAGCUGAGGUUAAGAAACCAGUGUCUUCAAGAGCCAGGGACAGCACUGGGUCUGUGCAGAGUUGAGAGAUGGUGAUGACAUGGUGAGACACAAAUUCAGUCUAUUUCAUAGUUUGUGGUCAUUCCUAUUAAUAAACUUCCUUUCACAACUGUUUCAAUAUUCACACAAAAAUGUUAACCCAAUCUGCAGUUGUACCCCUUGAAUGUAAAAUAAAAAACAAAAGCCCACAAAAAUAGGAAUCCACACUUAAAAGGUGGAUUUAUUUAGCACAGUAUGGAGUUUCUUAGACUUCUCUAUCACUGUCUCUAACAAUGACAUACUCACCUAACCCCACUAAGAGCAACUUUAUUUCAUCUCUAGUUUUCGUCUAAAGAUUCAUGUGGAUUUUAGAUUCUACUCUUUUGUAGGUUCGUAUUUGUACUAUUAUAAAAUGUGACUCUCUCUCCAAACUUUGCCUAAAUUAUGGAAUGAUUUUUCAUGUUUAUCCAGUGGUUUCCAGCAUUCUUGGCCCAGUCUGGGAUUCUACUCUUUUGUAGUGGUUUCCAGCAUUCCUCACCCAGUCCAGGGACACUGUGGGUGUGCCCAGCUUAAGUCCAGUAACUGGAAAUACAAGCCCAAGUUCUGGAGAGUUUGAGCUGCAGAGAUAUAUAUGGGAACACUUUGAAUCUUGACUCAUUGGCCAUAACCAGCAGAGUGGAAAAUACAAGAAGAGAAAAAAACAUUGAACUGCGAUUUUAUAACAUCCUUUACUAGGCAGAGAGAAGAGGAAACACCAGGAAAGAAAACUGUAUUACGAUGUGAAAACUUAAUGUUGAGAAAUUCAGGCAUCUUGGGGUUAGUGAGGAGAAGUUUUAGGGGCUUAGAUUCUUCUAAACACAUGUACAGAAAUGCAUAUUUCAUCUGAUAUCAAAUGGCAUUUAUAGUGCUAAUCUUUACCUCAAGACUUCACAUCUUUUGGUGAUUGCAUCUUUUAGGUUUAUAGCAGCUAAGUUUGCAUGAAAACACCAGGGCUGUUUCAUUUCAGUCAAGAAUUAAUGUUCAUUGAUUGUGCUUCUGCAUUUCAUGUAACUAUUGUAGAAUUUGUUUUAGUUUUAUGAGGGAAUAAUUGUUCCAACUUCUAUAUAACUCAGGAAUUUACUCUCAAACAACACUGUCAAUUAGUUACUUAUCUCUCUGGAAAUGAUCUGGGAACAUGGAGAGGAAAGGGAGGAAGGGGCAAAAUCUGACCACUUAAAUCUAAGCAUAUUAGAUCAUUUUAUGCUAGAAAGUCCUGAAUGAUGUGACUUUCGUUCUUGUAAAACACCUCUUUCCAUAGAUUCAUGGCCCAAACAGUAUAUAAAGAGUGGGGAAGGAACUGCAUUUGCAAAUAGUUCAAAUCAUUGCUCCAUCUUAACUACGCAGUUCACAAAGUGUGAAGAAAUGUGAUCAUCUCAAAAAAGAUAAUGGGGAAAAAAUAUGUUUUGUUCUGUGACUUUAAAGUCUUGCAAUAUUUUACAUAAAUGAUAAUGGGUGCUUUAAUAAGAACUCUUGAUACUUUUGUUAUUGUAUUCAAUAUAUGCAUAUAAUACAACAGGAUGAUAUUGUUUUGGAUUUGGAAAUGUAUUCUUUCUUAUGCAAUCUUAUGCAGUCAUACUGCUUGAAUAUCAUUACCUGAAUUUAUCUUUCUUUUUUUUGUUGUUGUUUUACACUCUACUUAUUUGGUGCCUGUCAGUCUUUUGUCGUCAGUUUAUAUUCUACUAAACUCAAAAAGACAAUCUCAUACCUUUUGUAAUUGUAGGCAUUCUUUACUAGAUUUUUAAAUACACUUCAAAAAUUCAAGUACUUUGAUUUCAUGCCAUCAAGUAGCUGAAUCUAUCCCCCCGUCUCUUUUUAAAUUUAAGUGAGUAGUUCAAUUUCUGUCACUUUCUACUUUGUGAAUUCUAAAUCUUUUAAAACCAUCUUGCCAUUUUUCGUGCACUUACCCUUACAGAAAACUCUGUGAAACACUACUUAUCUCUACUUUUAUGUUUUUAACUCCUUUUUUAUAUUACUAUUCCCUCUGCUUUCUAAAUGCACAUAUUAAUUUGUUCUUUUUAUUCUCUGUAGCUCUUCUCAGUGUAUGAAUUCAGUUUCCCAUCAGUCUCCAUACAAUUAAAAAAAAGUUGAGUAUUCUGUUAUUUUAAUAAGAUAUCUAGUGCCCAUAUUCUAAUUCUGCCCCUUAUUUUUAAUAUAAUUUUAUUGUUGAUUUAAAAUGACAACAGUUUCAAUUCCCAGAAAGUGAAAGGAAACAAAGGAAUAAUAUUAUAGGCUUAAUUUUUAUCAGUGAACUUGUAGGUGAAGAAAAGAUUUGGGGAAGGAAAUGAACAUAUUAUAUUGCAAAAUAGUAAGGAACAAUCAGAUGUGUUUUCUAGUCUCUGGAAAAGCAUGUUUCAAGAAAUUCAAUGAAAAGUUCAUCAUGCUUGCUUAGAUUGUUGAGAAGCAAAAACACUGAUGAACAUUUGGAAGCAAUGAGAAUGUAAUUCUAAUCAUACUCUUUUAAUAAUGUUGCAAAACUCUCCAAACACUACUCUGUGUGGAUGUCUUUCAGAAUAUGAUGAAUACUAGUAGUCUUAUUCUGCCCUUUUCUCUCUAUCACAAUAUAUACAUUCUAUAUUGCAUACACAUAUUUUCCAAAUAUUACAUAUAAUUUCAUGUAAUUUAUAGACCUAUUAAGGCCCAACCAUUUUCUUGGAUAGGGGAUUCUUUAGAAGUCCAGCUUAAAUAAAGCCCGUAUAGAAAGUUUUUUUAAAAUUUAUACAUAAUCACCUAAAGUAACCUUAUCUACUGAACUCUUAGUACAUGCUACUGGAACCUUUUAUCAUGUUUCUUCCUGGCUUGCAUUACAACACUGUUGACAUAUCUCAGCCUUACUUCUAGGCUUCUUUGAGAGCAUGACUCAUGUUUGUAUUCCUCACUGAGGUUGAAUGAAUAAGAGAAACUACAGUAGUAGGAAAAAACAGUACAUGUACAUAUCAAUGAAUAUGAAAGGGUCAAAUGGAUCUAUUAUAGUAAGCACAAAAUCAACUGACACCAGCAAAGUAAACCCAAAAUUUUUAAUGGUAUUUUAAUAGAUCAAGAGGAGCAAGCAGAUUUUUGAGACAGUUGUCUCCUACUUUCUCUAUCACAGGGAGUAAUUUUAAAAGAAAAAUGGAGGGUAAGUUUCUUUAAGAGAAAAUUGUAGUUUAAAACAGGUCAUGGGAUAAUUAGAAAUAAUUUAAUUUCUUUAGAGGAUUUUAAUCUUUCAACUGCUUGCAAUUAGAUCCUAAGGCAAUAAAAGAAUAAGGAGAUUUGGAAAACCAUUGUCUGUAAUCUCUGAAGAAAAGUGGACAUUAGGGGAGUCAGUUGAAAAGCAAAGCUAUCACCAUUUUCUAAAGAGGAAAAAGGUGAACCUCACAAACUAUAGACCAAAAAAAUAGGACAUCGAGAGAAAGAAUAUGAAGCUAGCAUAGGUUCACAAAGAAUGAGUCAAAUCAAACAACAUGCAUUUUUUAUUUAUAAAGCAUGACUUGUUCAUUGUCAAUUCAUGUUAGCUUAAUCAUUAGGCAUUAAUGCCAUCACUGCAAUGCAUAUGUCAGCAAUAAAUAAUCAAAGACCAGGCUUCCAUCAUUCUGUUUAAUAUCUUCAAGUAAUGCUUAAGUUUGCAAAUGCUCUUUUAACACAUUCUCCAUAUGCAGCCUGCCCAGCACUGCACACAAUAGACCUGUUACUUCCCCCUCACGAGCACUCCUAAUAUUUCAUGUGCUCAUCCAAUUGACUUCUCCCACUGGUGCCUCAUAUUGAAUUUGUAGAAUCACACCUGCUCCUUUUUCAAAACUCUUCUGAGUUUUUUCUUAAAUAAUUCACUGACCCCAAAGUUGUCAGAUAUUUGAAGACUACUCGCACAAUUUUAAUAUUAUAAAUGUAUAAUGUAAAUGUAAUUAAGAUUUGUAUAAUGUACGAUGUACUUUGGUAAAUAAAAGUAUGCUGUGAAUAAAUACGUAUGAUACAAUUCAAAAUUUUACAUAAAUAUGUGAUAAAAUUUAGCUCAUAUUCUUUUUUUUUUUCUUUGAGACGGAGUCUCACUCUGUUGCACCCAGGCUAGAGUGCAGCAGCAUGAUCUCAGCUCACUGCAACCUCUACCUCCUGGGUUCAAACAAUUCUCCUGCCUCAGCCUCCUGAGUAGCUGGGAUUACAGGUGCCCGCCACCAUGCCCAGCUAAUUUUUUUCUAUUUUUGUUGUUGUUGUUGUUUUUAGUAGAGACGGGGUUUCACCAUGUUGGUCAGGCUGGUCUUGAACUCCUGACCUCAGAUAAUCCACCUGCCUCGGCCUCCCAAAGUUCUGGGAUUACAGACGUGAACCACGGUGCCCGGCCUAGUUCAUGUUCUUUAAGGACAAUUAUGAAUAUUUUUAUGCACUGUUAAUUUUCAUUAAGAUAUUGAUCAAUUAAUAGCUAUAUAUGUUCUAUAAAUUAAUCCUAUCUAGUUUCAAUCUUAAAUUGUUUGCAUAUACCAAUCUAGUUUAUUGUUUGCAUAUAUUUUAUAGUGUAGAGAUUAGGCAUUUUAAUAAAAUUUUAAAAUUUCCAGGACAUACUGUUAAUGACUAUGCUUCCUACUAUAGGCCAUAAUUAAUUUUUUUCUAUUGUCAACAAUAUUUUGGUAGGGAUGAUCAGGAAAUAAGGAAAUGUUUCCUUCAUUUGUUAACAAUAGGUGUUUGGGGAUUUUAAAAUGAAAAUUGAAGAAGUAAAAGACACCAUAUAUUUAGUUUGUUUGAUUUCGUGGCUUCAAGAGUUCAAUAAUUUAUUGAAAUAUUUUACAGACCAAAGAACAACAGAUAUAUUACGUUUAUAAGCCCCCACAUAUUUUAAAGGAUAAUGGUUUAUAUAUGAAAAUUCCCUGAACCUACACUUCAUCAGGAAAAGCUAAAUAAAAGAAGUUUACAUUUCCUAGGACUAAUGGAGAUUUAUUUCCCAGUCCUCUUCUCUGGAGACAAAUGUAGGUCUCUCUUGAAAAGCAGAAAGUUUUGCAUAUGAGGUAUGAUUUAGUGGGCUAGAAACAUCUUUUCCACCCUCCCCAAAAUGUUUCACUAUGUUUUAUCAUACUAUCUGAUAAUUUUGCACUAAAGUUUUCUUUCUGUGUUAAGAAAAUGCAAAUAUCUCUGAAUGGGUCUCUUUGCUUUAGUCAUACUCAUAUGGCUACUACUGAACAAAAUAUGUUCAUUACAGGAUGAAGGGAAUGUUGCCAGCCAGCAAAUCCCUAGAGUUUGCACUACACCAAACGUUGCUUAGCAAUUUCCACGAUUUUCUCAGUCUAAUUUGCAAGAAUCAAGGAGAUGUUUGUGUAUGCUACAUGAAGUUGUAAAAUUGGUAUUUAUUGUAUGUUUCUAUAUCGAAAGCUUUACAAACAAAGGAAAUGGAAAGUUAACAGGUGGAUAUGAUAGUGUGGCACUACUUUAGCUGGAUGGUAAGGGAGAGCUUCUCUUAGGAAGUGUUUUAGGCCAGGACUUGAAUAAUGAACAGUAUCUAGUUGUACAAAAAUCUGGAGGAAAGACUUUUCAGGCCCAGGAGAAAUGAAAAUUCUUUUCAUGCAUACAAGAAUGAAAGUGAAAAUUACCUACUCUAUGUCCUGAAGUGGGAAGUUGGCUUGCCAGAGAGUAGGUAAUUUUCACUUUGAUUCUUUCAUGCCUUCAGUUAUACUACUUCUUAGGUUAGUUCAUAAGGGUUUCCACAAUUUGGUUCCCACUUAAAAUUUAAAACUUCCCUAACCCAUUCCCACCAUAUAUUGUGCUAAUCCAUGCAUAUGUGACUUUGCGUAUGCUGUUUUCAUUGUUUAAUAUUCUUCUCAUGCAUUCGUUCUUUCCUGAUAACGAACUCAUCUUUGAAACUCCCCUUCAAGCAUCCUCUACUUUAGGAGGCCGCUUCUCACUGUCUCCUGCCUACCACCCAUUGAAUUGUUCAAUUUUUAAGCUGCCAUUGUCUUGUGCAGUUGACACAUUUCUUUGCAAUUACUGAUUUACAUGUCUGCUUUUAUCACUGGUGAGGUUCUUUAGGACAGAGACAUUAUUAAUUCAUCUCUGGGCACAUAUGUUCCAACAUAUUAGAAGUACUACAGAGUGCUAUUACUAUGUAGUAUGUAGUAUUAGUAGUAGUUACUCACAAAUCAUUUUUAAAUAAGUGAUUAUAAUAUCUUUUUGUUAUUAUGAUUUAACACAAGAUGGAAUUUAUUUUCAGAAGUUUCCAUGAUAUAUUUGUUCUAUUUAAAAUCCAAUAGCCAUUAGAAUAUUACCAUUAUUUAAUGUAAAACAAUAAAAUAUUAAAUAUGAUCGUUCAUAUUUAAUGCAAACCGAACUCAUGGAAAUAUUGUGUAAAGAUCAAGUAAUUUUUGACAUACAAUUUUAAACUCAACUUUUCAUAUAGCAUACCUUAUGAUAUAUUUUCAGCCUACUUUUAAAUAUGUUGGCAUUGAAAGCCAGUUACUAAUUCGCUGAAUUCAUGAUUUCUUUUUAAGUUAUAGAAGUGGAAUUAUGUUUGAGAUAUUCAUUGCAUUACAUUUACCAGAACUUGAGUUCUUAACAUGGAACCUGAGAGUUUCUCCAAUUCUUAAGUCCCUGGGAGAAAUAGAUUAGCUGGAUGAGGAACUGAGAGGAAAAAUGGUCAGAGAUGUAGCAAGAGUUGGGAAGAAGGAACAAUGAUUUGCUUUCAAGGAGAUUUUUUCAUUGGUCUGUUUUCAGUGACAAACCCACUGCGAUAAUACAUGUAAAGUGAAAACAUUCAGGAAGUUCCCUUAGAAACCUCUUUUCUGGCAGUUCCUAAUUCUACAACAUUGUAUAAGUGAAAUACCAUAGUUACUGUCAUAGUAAAUUGAGCCAAGAGAAACAAGGGAGCAGGAGAAGAAAAGAAUUAAAGAGAGUUUUGUCUUUCAGUCUUCACUCUGUUUCUUCUUGCUUUUACCAGUCAUUCAGGUUUAUAUAAUUUCUUUAGAGAGGCUUCUACUAUGCAGGUCUUCCUUAAAGUCAUUGGUAUUACCUGGCAUGAUAUGUGAGCCUUUAAUAUCAGUCCCUUUAUCUCUUUAUUUUUAAAGUUUAUAUCAGUACAGAGUCCUGGAUUCUUAAUUAAUUUAAUAGGUUAGACUUUAUGCUAAUAUUCUUCAUUUUGAUGCUCAAAUUUUCCAAAAUUUGGCCAGCAGGGUUCCUUAAAGCUGGGUACCUUGCCCUUUCAACAUGUCCCUCUGAUUCUUUAUUUUUAUUUACUUAUUUAUUUAUUUAUUUAUUUAUUUAUUUAUUUAUUUAUUUAGAGACUGAGUCUUGCUCUGUCUCCCAGCCUGGAGUGCAAUGGCACAAUCUUGGCUCACUGCAACCUCUAUCUCCCAGGUUCAAGCAAUUCUCCUCCCUCAGCCUCCCGAGCAACUGGGACUACAGGCAUGUGCAACCAUGCCUGGCUAAUUUUUUUUGUAUUUUUAGUAGAGACAGGCUUUCACCAUGUUGGUCAGGCUGGCCUCGAUCUCCUGACCUCAAAUGAUCCAUCGCCUCGGCCUCCCAAAGUGCUGGGAUUACAGGCGUGAGCUGCCACACCCAGCCGUCCCUCUCAUUCUUUAAGUACUUCCAUGUUUUCUAAGGUACAAGAUGUUCCAUAUUAUUUUGUUAUUUGUCUUCCCCAGCUCUGAAAUCUGCCUUUCCUUCAAGGAGCCUUGGUUCUUUCUAGUGACAAAUUAUAUUUAGAAAGAAGAUCUGGGUAUUUGACUUGUAUAUUGCUAUUAAUUGGCCAUUGUUUCUAGUCUCUUUCAGUAGACAGAGCUAAGAAAUGUAAAAGGAAAUAUUUGAAUGUAUGUAUAUGUGAUAUAUUAAGUACAUUUAAACAUAUUAAAUUCAUGAGUUCAUACUAAUACUUUCAAUAAGCCACAAUUCCCUUUUCAUGUUUUCGAAGGAAAAAUAUCCAUUGUCUAUAUACAGUGGACAUAGAUAGUAAUAAUACUGAUCUUGAAAAGAGCAGUCUUAAAUAGAUCCCAUUAAUAGUUAAAGAUAACAUAUCUUAGAAUUCUAGAUAUUAGAGAGAUUAUCUAGAGCUGUAAUCUAGAUAUUUUAUAGAUCUUUGCUGUGCUGUUUUGAAUUUGUGUUGGAGUAGAACAAUCAGAUGACAAAAGCUCAUCCCACAUGGAAAAAUCAAAGCAUUCAUUACAGAGAGAAUUUUGAAAUAAAUGCAUAUAUAAAAAAUAUAUAUGCAUAUAUAAUGCAUAUGUAUAUGCAUAUAAAAUAUAUAUAUAUAAAAUGAGGGUUAUAAACAAUGAAGGAAAUAGUGAUACUAUCUAUGUGGGAACAAUACUAGUAUCCUCCCUUUGGAUGAAUACAGUAGCUACAGAUGCAAUUCUGGGGACUCUGUUUAGCAAUAGCUUAACUAUUGCUUGGCUACAAGCAUGGAUAACUUGUUCAAAGAUAAUGAGGAGUUGUAAAUAUUUAAAUAAACAGGAUUUGCAACAUAAAAAGCUUUGUGACUAUGUGUCUGAAUUCUUAGAGUUUUCUCCCAGCAAGACCUUGGAUGUGGCAGACUUUUCUGUAAUUGUCCAUCUCGCCCCUAUUUCAUGAAAAGCCAGAGCUUCUCUACUUAGUUUGCUAACCCCAAAUAUAUAAAUUCAAUAGAAGUACUAGCCUGUUUUUACUGGUUUAUUUGCUUUAUCUAAAAAAAACAAGGCAUAGUUUAAAGUCUGUUUUUGAUAGCAUAACAAAACAAAGGUUCUCAUUUUAAUAAUGCAUCACAUAUACACUUGGUAACUAUUGCAUAGUAAUAAUUUAAUAACUUGAGAAAUAUAUUUAUGCAUGUAUGUGUAUAUGUUCAUAUAUAUGUUAUUUUUAAUUCAGAAGUAAAACAAAUAUUGGAAGAGGCCACAGUUAUUAUAAAAAUAAUUUGACCAGUAUUGGACAAUGCAAAUAGCAAUCAUUUAGAAGUUUCU
RNAcentral lists this long non-coding RNA (9525 nucleotides) under Homo sapiens (human). RNAcentral describes it as "PREDICTED lncRNA (TCONS_00238006)". The record is from RNAcentral. Lineage: Eukaryota; Metazoa; Chordata; Mammalia; Primates; Hominidae.